GAUGAACGCUGGCGGCGUGCCUAAUACAUGCCAGUCGAGCGAACGGACGAGAAGCUUGCUUUUCUGAUGUUAGCGGCGGACGGGUGGGUAACACGUGGAUAACCUACCUAUAAGGCUGGGAUAACUUCGGGAAACCGGAGCUAAUACCGGAUAAUAUUUUGAACCGCAUGGUUCAAAAGUGAAAGACGGUCUUGCUGUCACUUAUAGAUGGAUCCGCGCUGCAUUAGCUAGUUGGUAAGGUAACGGCUUACCAAGGCAACGAUGCAUAGCCGACCUGAGAGGGUGAUCGGCCACACUGGAACUGAGACACGGUCCAGACUCCUUCGGGAGGCAGCAGUAGGGAAUCUUCCGCAAUGGGCGAAAGCCUGACGGAGCAACGCCGCGUGAGUGAUGAAGGUCUUCGGAUCGUAAAACUCUGUUAUUAGGGAAGAACAUAUGUGUAAGUAACUGUGCACAUCUUGACGGUACCUAAUCAGAAAGCCACGGCUAACUACGUG
Molecule: ribosomal RNA, 497 nt
Filed under: uncultured bacterium
Lineage: Bacteria
Description: partial 16S ribosomal RNA
Rfam family: Bacterial small subunit ribosomal RNA
Source: RNAcentral